Molecule: ribosomal RNA, 503 nt
Filed under: uncultured bacterium
Lineage: Bacteria
Description: partial 16S ribosomal RNA
Rfam family: Bacterial small subunit ribosomal RNA
Source: RNAcentral
GACGAACGCUGGCGGCGUGCUUAACACAUGCAAGUCGAACGGUGAAGCGCUUUCCUUUUUGGUUGGUGUGGAUGAGUGGCGAACGGGUGAGUAACACGUGAGUAACCUGCCCCCUUCUUCUGGAUAACCGCAUGAAAGUGUGGCUAAUACGGGAUAUUCUGCGCCUGCUGCAUGGUGGGUGUGGGAAAGAUUGUGCCUUUGGGUGUUUUCGGUGGGGGAUGGGCUCGCGGCCUAUCAGCUUGUUGGUGGGGUGAUGGCCUACCAAGGCGGUGACGGGUAGCCGGCCUGAGAGGGUGGACGGUCACACUGGGACUGCGACACGGCCCAGACUCCUACGGGAGGCAGCAGUGGGGAAUAUUGCACAAUGGGCGCAAGCCUGAUGCAGCGACGCCGCGUGAGGGAUGGAGGCCUUCGGGUUGUGAACCUCUUUCGCCAGUGAAGCAGGCCUGCUCCUUGUGGGUGGGUUGACGGUAGCUGGAUAAGAAGCGCCGGCUAACUACGUG